UACGUAGACCUCAAGCGUUAUCCGAAUUUAUUGGGCGUAAAGAGCAUGUAGGAGGUUUUGCGCGUUUCACGUUAAAGACCACCGCCUAACGGUGGGAGUGCGUGGGAUACGGCAAGACUAGAGGAGGUUAGAGGUGCAUAGAACGGCACGGUGUAGGGGUGAAAUCCGUUGAUAUCGUGCGGAAUACCAAAGGCGAAGGCAGUGCACUGGGACUUUCCUGACUCUGAGAUGCGAAAGCGUGGGGAGCAAAAAGG
RNAcentral lists this ribosomal RNA (254 nucleotides) under uncultured bacterium. Its description in RNAcentral is "partial 16S ribosomal RNA". It matches the Rfam family "Bacterial small subunit ribosomal RNA", at positions 524 to 776 of the family's 1533-position model. The record is from RNAcentral.